Molecule: ribosomal RNA, 286 nt
Filed under: uncultured bacterium
Lineage: Bacteria
Description: partial 16S ribosomal RNA
Rfam family: Bacterial small subunit ribosomal RNA
Source: RNAcentral
UCCGCCGGCGGACCGGACGGCACGGGUCGGAGUAACAACGUAAUGCGAACCUACGGCCGUGACAGAUGGAUAACCGGACGGAAAUACCCGCCUAAUACAACAUAAUGCCGGGAGGGGACAUCCCCUGCCGGCCAAAGGGGGCGACCCCGGUCACGGAUGGGCAUGCGGCGCAUUAGGUAGUUGGUGGGGCAACGGCCCACCAAGCCGACGAUGCGUAGGGGUUCUGAGAGGAAGGUCCCCCACAUUGGAACUGAGACACGGUCCAAACUCCUACGGGAGGCAGCAG